CCCCUUCCGUCUUCCCUCUGGCUUCCGGCUGUGUAGACACAUCUGGCUCCAUGAAUACCCUGGGCUGCCUGGUCAAGGGCUACUUCCCAGAGCCAGUGACAGUGACAUGGAACUCAGGGGCCCUGACCAGCGGAGUGCACACCUUCCCGGCUGUCCUUCGGUCAGGCCUGUACUCCCUCACCAGCAUGGUAACUGUGCCCUCCAGCCAGAAGAAGGCCACCUGCCAUGUAGUCCACCCGGCCAGCAGCACCACGGUGGACAAGGAUGUUGAGUCCAAGCCCCCAGUACCUGUACCUACGUGUCCCACAUGUCCCACAUGUCCCAAGUGCCCACCUCCUCAAGACCUAAUAGGACCAUCCGUCUUCAUCUUCCCCCCAAAGCCCAAGGACACACUCAUGAUCUCCCUGACCCCCAAGGUCACAUGUGUUGUGGUAGAUGUGAGCCAGGAUGAUCCUGAAGUCCAGAUCACAUGGUUCAUGGAUGACAAACAAAUGCACACAGUUGAGACGAAGCCCAGACAGGAGCAAUUCAACACCACAUACCGUGUGGAGAGCAUGCUCUCUAUCCAGCACCAGGAUUGGCUGAAGGGCAAGGAGUUCAAGUGCAAGGUCUUCAACAAAGCCCUACCAGCCCCCAUUGAGAGGACCAUCUCCAAAGCUAAAGGGGCACUCCGGGUGCCGGAUGUGUAUACUCUGCCGCCAUCCCGAGAAGAGCUGUCCAAGAACAAAGUCAGUUUGACCUGCCUGGCCAUCUCCUUCUUCCCUGCCGACAUCCAUGUGGAGUGGGCAACCAAUGGACAACCAAUGAAUGAGCAAGACUACAACAACACCCCACCUGUUAAGGACACUGACGGGUCCUACUUCCUCUAUAGCAAGCUCACUGUGGAAAAGAGCAAGUGGGAGCAAGGAAUUGUCUUCACCUGCUCCGUGAUGCAUGAAGGCCUGCACAAUCACAUCACUCAGAAGACCAUCUCCCGGUCUCCGGGGCUGGACCUGGAUGAGAGCUGUGCCGAGGCCCAGGAUGGGGAGCUGGAUGGGCUGUGGACAACCAUCACCAUCUUCAUCACCCUCUUCCUGCUCAGCGUGUGCUACAGCGCCACGGUGACCCUUUUCAAGGUGAAGUGGAUCUUCUCCUCAGUGGUGGAACUGAAGCAGACCAUCGCCCCUGACUACAGGAACAUGAUCGGGCAGGGGGCUUAGAGCCUACCCCUCAAGGGCUCAGGCUUCCCAGGCCCUUGCAGGAUCCCAUCCAUCACUUCCAGCAGCUCAGCCCCAGGUCACACACUCCUCUGACCUCGCUGCCUCUCUGACCCUGUGGUUCAGUGACCAUGCGCUCCCACCCUCCCCGCUCUGGAGGACUCGUGGAUAGCAGGUGCGCCCAGCCUCAGCAGCCUGGACAUGCGCCACCCCUGGAGCAGUCUCCAUGACCCUGGCUGAGACAAGAGAUGCAGCUUCCUUCUGCAGGACAUCCCUGCCUUAUGAGCAGGGUGGUCACCCAAGAGGAGGCAGAGACCAGCAUUGGCCAUGUCCAUCUGGGUGGAGACCAGCCUUGGAGACAGCCCUGUCAACACCAGCCUGUCCAGCACAGGGCAUCUCAGAGAAACGUGAGGCUGAGACCUUCCAGAGAGACUGCUGUACUUAGCGUGGCAAACAUGAUCAGUGGCCCUCAGCAGAGGUUUAGAAAGGGCUGCUGACAGUCACCCCGAUGGACUGUACCAGCCCAAGCCUAGAGGGCCUGUGCUGGGCACUUCUAUGGAUAGGGCCUUGAGCAAUGGUUCAUAUUAUCCUCAUGUGUCCUCUGAUGGGGACUCUGAGUACUGUCCCUCCUCGUGGCCCACAUUGCACACUGCUGGGUCCAACCCAUAGGGAUGGACCACCCCAGGCUUCUCUGCACUUGUGAUAAAGAGCUGGGCUCAGGAUACUACCACCUCCCCCUGGAAGCCCAGUGCCACUCCUGGGAAGCACUCAAGGGAAGAUCUGUGCCACCUGGUGGCUGCAGAACACCAGCAAGGGCAGAAGUGGGUGGCUGUCAUCAUUUGUACCUCCAGGAAGGUCUGGUGAGCAAGCUUCAGGCAGGCCAGACUCGUCCUUCUGGUUUUCAAGGAUAGAGGAGGCCCGAGAGCCCCAGCCAAGCCCCAGCCAAGGCACAGCUUGAUGGCUACUAAAAGCAGCAGGGCUCAGACAGGCCUGUCCUGCAGGACCAGUGUCCACUCCGGAGCACUGAAAGCAGGAACCCCCAGUUGGACAAGAUACCCACAGAGAGAGCCCAGUGGCCAGGAGCCAGGGCUAGGCUGGCACUGGACAGAGGGUCCAUGUGCCACGGUCCUAUCCAGCAUGGGGAAAAUGCCAAGCCACACCCUCCAGUCAGGAAGAAAGACACAAGCAAGAAAGGAGAGCAGACACCACUCCAUGUUGCAGGAAAGCCCAAGGACAGGUCUGUUCAGCUUUGUAGCUUUGUUCUGCUUGUAGUGUUCUGGAACCUCUGAUGUUGUGAAAGUUCUCUCUUUAAUGGUAAUAAACAUCCUUUAAAGACUGUUC
Non-coding RNA from Chinchilla lanigera (long-tailed chinchilla), 2537 nucleotides. Lineage: Eukaryota; Metazoa; Chordata; Mammalia; Rodentia; Chinchillidae. The record is from the annotation of a RefSeq genome assembly.